This 429-nucleotide ribosomal RNA is filed under the name Bacteroidota bacterium. Its description in RNAcentral is "Bacteroidetes bacterium partial 16S ribosomal RNA". It matches the Rfam family "Bacterial small subunit ribosomal RNA", at positions 355 to 776 of the family's 1533-position model. The record is from RNAcentral. Lineage: Bacteria; Pseudomonadati; Bacteroidota.
UAGGGAAUCUUCGGCAAUGGGGGGAACCCUGACCGAGCAACGCCGCGUGAGUGAAGAAGGUUUUCGGAUCGUAAAGCUCUGUUGUUAAGGAAGAACGAGUGUGAGAAUGGAAAGUUCAUGCUGUGACGGUACUUAACCAGAAAGGGACGGCUAACUACGUGCCAGCAGCCGCGGUAAUACGUAGGUCCCGAGCGUUGUCCGGAUUUAUUGGGCGUAAAGCGAGCGCAGGCGGUUAGAAAAGUCUGAAGUGAAAGGCAGUGGCUCAACCAUUGUAGGCUUUGGAAACUGGUUAACUUGAGUGCAGAAGGGGAGGGUGGAAUUCCAUGUGUAGCGGUGAAAUGCGUAGAUAUAUGGAGGAACACCGGUGGCGAAAGCGGCUCUCUGGUCUGUAACUGACGCUGAGGCUAGAAAGCGUGGGGAGCGAACAGG